Molecule: ribosomal RNA, 440 nt
Filed under: uncultured bacterium
Lineage: Bacteria
Description: partial 16S ribosomal RNA
Rfam family: Bacterial small subunit ribosomal RNA
Source: RNAcentral
CCUACGGGAGGCAGCAGUGGGGGAUAUUGCACAAUGGGGGGAACUCUGAUGCAGCGACGCCGCGUGGGUGAAGAAGCGCCUCGGCGCGUAAAGCCCUGUCAGCAGGGAAGAAAAUGACGGUACCUGAAGAAGAAGCCCCGGCUAACUACGUGCCAGCAGCGGCGGCAAUACGUAGGGGGCAAGCGUUAUCCGGAUUUACCGGGUGUAAAGGGGGUGCAGACGGCGGUGCAAGCCAGGAGUGAAAGCCCGGGGCCCAACCCCGGGACUGCUCUUGGAACUGCGUGGCUGGAGUGCAGGAGGGGCAGGCGGAAUGCCUGGUGUAGCGGUGAAAUGCGUAGAGAUCAGGAGGAACACCGGUGGCGAAGGCGGCCUGCUGGACUGCAACUGACGUUGAGGCCCGAAAGCGUGGGGAGCAAACAGGAUUAGAUACCCUAGUAGUC